UUAGGAAUUUUGGGCAAUGGGCGAAAGCCUGACCCAGCAACGCCGCGUGGGUGACGACGGCCUUCGGGUUGUAAAGCCCUUUUCUUGGGGAAGAUGAUGACGGUACCCGAGGAAGAAGCACCGGCUAACUACGUGCCAGCAGCCGCGGUAAUACGUAGGGUGCGAGCGUUGCCCGGAUUUAUUGGGCGUAAAGGGCGCGUAGGCGGCCUGGCGCGUCGGCUGUGAAAUCUCCCGGCUCAACUGGGAGGGGACGGCCGAUACGGCUGGGCUUGAGCGAGGUAGGGGAGAGUGGAAUUCCCGGUGUAGUGGUGGAAUGCGUAGAUAUCGGGAGGAACACCAGUGGCGAAGGCGGCUCUCUGGACCUCUGCUGACGCUGAGGCGCGAAAGCGUGGGGAGCGAUCCGGAUUAGAUACCCCCGUAGUCC
This 424-nucleotide ribosomal RNA is filed under the name uncultured bacterium. Its description in RNAcentral is "bacterial SSU rRNA". It matches the Rfam family "Bacterial small subunit ribosomal RNA", at positions 355 to 796 of the family's 1533-position model. The record is from RNAcentral.